UUUUAAGCAUCUACUAUAUUUCAGGCACUGUUUCGGAUGCCAGGGAUAGAGCAGUGGCCAUGCAAACAAGGUCCCUGCUCUCAGGGAGCUCAUGUCUAGUGGGACAGAGAUAACAAACAGGAAAAGAAAUAAAUAUUUCCAGAUAGGGCUAAGUGGUAUGAAUGAACUAGGCCAGGAUAGGUUGUUUUAUGUUGUUUUGUUUUGUCUGUUUGUUUGGUUUGUCUUUUUUUAAGGCAGGCUGGUCAGGGAAGGUCACGCUAAGGAGGUGACACUUGAGCCAAGGUCUAAAUUGUUGCUUGUACACCAAGGGCACCUAGAGGUCUGGGCUGGGUGCCUGGAGGCAUCCAAAGUAACCAGAAUGAUCUAUCUCCUGCUGAUGCUCAUCCAGAACAAAUUCUCACCCUUUCUCAACAAGCAAAGGAGGGCUUGAAUCCAAGAGAAAAUAAUUUCCUGGCAUCAGCAAGGUCCACAGCCUGCUCCAAUCAAGUUGCCUUCCAAAUGCCAGAAAGCUGAGGUACCCAAGCACCAGGACCCAGGAGAUAAGUUGGCUACAUGCCAGAGCUCUCAGGACAGCAACCUGCUUGCAUAUGCGUUUACAUAACCGUUUGCAAAUAAAAAACCAAUGACAAACAUUUCCCAAACUGGCCCUAGCCUGUGGACCAGACCUUGACCAGCAGCACUUCUGGGCAGUGUUUGUCCCUGGGGGCGAAGAGGACUGAUGGUCAGAGCCGACCCUUAUUCCACUCUUACUCUCUGGCACAGCACCCUCGUGAACCCCCCAGCACAUAGUUGCAUAUUCUUCGUUGUGGGUCCUUCUACUUGUGACAUGUGGGACGCUGCCUCAGCGUGGUUUGAUGAGCAGCGUCAUGUCCCCGCCCAGGAUUCGAACCAACGAAACACUACGCCGCCUGCAGCGGAGCGCGAGCGAACUUAACCACUCGGCCACGGGGCCAGCCCCCCAAAUGCUUUUGAAAGGACAGUGGCACUCUUCAGGGUGUCCCCUUGCUCCUGCUCACCUUCUAUAUGCAUGCAUGGUCCACCGCCACACCAUGCUGUGAAGUGACAAGAAUGACAGCAUUUGCAGGAAAUGUACAUUGCAACAUGACAAAGCAAGAAACACCUUUUGCAAAAAGCGUUAGAAGUUAAAGGACUGGCUGGUAAUGCCUCGGACAUCAGUUCUUAUCCUUCUGCUUUUGCAGUUGCUGAAUGUUGAAACAAGUCAGCUUGAAGUCGGAAAUGAGACAUCUGACCCACCUUCGGACUCUGCCUGGACCGCAGACCCCACAGGCAGGUAGUAGAUGAUGGCGAUGGAGACUUGCGCCCUGGAGCCAGACUGCAGCCUGGCUUUGCCUCUUUCUGUCUCAGUGAUCUCAGGUAAGUUAUUUAAUCCCCCUGUGACUCAGUUUCCUCUUCUGUCUGAGAGGAGUGAAAAUAAUUCUUAGCUCACAUGGCUACGGAGAGGAUUAACUUAGCUUCAGCGCAGCACUUUGCAAGCUGUUACAGUGCUUCCCUGAGGGUCCCUUCUUG
This 1527-nucleotide long non-coding RNA is filed under the name Equus asinus (donkey). Its description in RNAcentral is "lncRNA (ENSEASG00005036325.1)". The record is from RNAcentral. Lineage: Eukaryota; Metazoa; Chordata; Mammalia; Perissodactyla; Equidae.